AGAGAGAGACAUGCGCGCAUAUCAAUAAGCGGAGGAAAAGAAACUAACAAGGAUUCCCUUAGUAACGGCGAGUGAAGCGGGAAGAGCUCAAAUUUGAAAUCUUCAAGGUUUUACCUUGACGAAUUGUAGUUUAAAGAAGUGUUUUCUGCUGAAGUUUUGGUAAAAGUUCUUUGGAAUAGGACAUCAUAGAGGGUGAGAAUCCCGUAUUUGACCAUUAUUUUCAGCUUUGUGAUACACUUUCAAAGAGUCGGAUUGUUUGGGAAUGCAGUCCAAAAUGGGUGGUAAAUUUCAUCUAAAGCUAAAUAUUGGCGAGAGACCGAUAGGCGAACAUGUACCGUGAGGGAAAGAUGAAAAGAACUUUGAAAAGAGAGUUAAACAGUACGUGAAAUUGUCAAAAGGGAAGCGUUUGACACCAGUGUUGUUUUCUCGAAAAUCAAUUAAAAAUGGCUCGAUUUUGUAUUGUUGAGACCUUAAAAGCUCACUGUACAUUUUUCGUGUCUUUUUUAAUGCACUUUUCGUUUAACAAGUCGAACAUCAGUUUCUUUUGUUGUAAAAGGGUCAUUGGAAGGUGGCUUUCUUUUCGGAGAAAGUGUUUAUAGCCUUUGGCCUCUGCAAUCGGAGAGACUGAGGUCUGCAGCGUAGACUCUUCGGGGUUAGAUACAUUUGUGCUAAGUUAUAGCUUUUUAUAGACAACAUUGUUGACUAUAAUUAGUCUUGUAGCUUACUCGCUUAUGCUAUUUUACCUACGCUUAGGAUGUUGAAGAUGUAGCACAUCAU
RNAcentral lists this ribosomal RNA (777 nucleotides) under uncultured Neocallimastigales. RNAcentral's name for it is "partial large subunit ribosomal RNA". It matches the Rfam family "Eukaryotic large subunit ribosomal RNA", at positions 23 to 620 of the family's 3401-position model. The record is from RNAcentral. Lineage: Eukaryota; Fungi; Neocallimastigomycota; Neocallimastigomycetes; Neocallimastigales.